RNAcentral lists this ribosomal RNA (503 nucleotides) under uncultured Sphingobacteriales bacterium. RNAcentral's name for it is "bacterial SSU rRNA". It matches the Rfam family "Bacterial small subunit ribosomal RNA", at positions 910 to 1382 of the family's 1533-position model. The record is from RNAcentral. Lineage: Bacteria; Pseudomonadati; Bacteroidota; Sphingobacteriia; Sphingobacteriales.
GCCAGCCCGCUCAAGAAACUCGAAAGGAAAGUUCGACGGGGGCCCGCACAAGCGGAGGAGCAUGUGGUUAAUUCGAUGAUACGCGAGGAACCUUACCUGGGCUCGAACGUAAGAUGACUGUAGGUGAAAGCUUACAUCUCUUCGGAGCAUUUUACGAGGUGCUGCAUGGUUGUCGUCAGCUCGUGCCGUGAGGUGUCGGGUUAAGUCCCAUAACGAGCGCAACCCCUACCUUUAGUUGCCAUCAGGUUAGGCUGGGGACUCUAAAGGAACUGCCUACGCAAGUAGUGAGGAAGGCGGGGAUGACGUCAAAUCAGCACGGCCCUUACGUCCAGGGCUACACACGUGCUACAAUGGCCGAUACAGAGGGCAGCUACCUGGUGACAGGAUGCAAAUCUCCAAAGUCGGUCUCAGUUCGGAUCGGAGUCUGCAACCCGACUCCGUGAAGUUGGAUUCGCUAGUAAUCGCGCAUCAGCCAUGGCGCGGUGAAUACGUUCCCGGGCCUU